RNAcentral lists this long non-coding RNA (982 nucleotides) under Monodelphis domestica (gray short-tailed opossum). Its description in RNAcentral is "lncRNA (ENSMODG00000011488.3)". The record is from RNAcentral. Lineage: Eukaryota; Metazoa; Chordata; Mammalia; Didelphimorphia; Didelphidae.
GAACGUAUUUGAGCUCCCCAAGAAGGAAAGAAAAGAAGAGGAUUGGUUUCAGAAGGUUGAUCAAUUGCAAUUUCCCCACCCAUCCCUCACCUCCCUUUCAGAUCUCAAAGACUAUAUUUCCAGGCUUAAGUAAAGAGCAACUCUUUAGUGGUCAGAGGUCUCUUCUUCAAUGAGUUCCAAGUCAAACUCAUCUUCUAUAGAACCUCCAACAGGUAGAAGACGGAACUUCUUUCCUCUCAGGGUACAUGUGCGGUGCUUGAAAUCCAAGAUGGCGCCAUGGUCUUGGAGUACAUCUGUUCCAAUGAUGGCUUCUUCUGUGCUUGCAUUGGCCACCAAGAAUUCAGCCUCCAUCUCAAACUUCCCCAGGGUCACUUUAGUGUCCCAGAUGCCCAAGAUCUUCAUCUCAGCCCCAUUGGCCACUUUUACCACAUUUUCAAAGGGUCGAAGGGUGUCUACAUCUCCAUCAGUAGCCUGCUCCCACAAGUCUGGACUGACCACUGAUACCUGGGCUCCAGAGUCCACUAGGAACCUCACAGGAAUACCCUCAAUUUUGCCUUUGAGCCAUAAUACCGCUCUCCACUGGACUUACGUGCACAAUCCACACAAGGCAGAUAAACCCGAAGAGCAGGACAGGAUCAAUCACGGUGGUGUCCAAGGCAAGUCUCAGCCAGAACUAGGACAACCCUUCAGCAGCCUGAAGAGUUGGAGCUUCCGGAUCUCUGGCAAUAGAGAGGCAAGGAAGAUUUUUGAGCUAGGAAAUGCAAUGGAAUUGGAUCAGCACUGUGAAAAAUGAAGAUGACUCAAAGAAACAUAGGAUCACUAAAAACCCAGUUGAAAAAUUCUGUUCUGAAGGAAACCUUUCCUGGUCUUCCAACUACUUGGUGCCUUUUCCCCCUCCACCCCACCCUCAUCUUCUGCUACCUUAUAUCAUUUUAUAUAGAAUCAGUCAGUCAAUAAAUAUUAUUAAAAACCUACUAUGUCA